Molecule: long non-coding RNA, 1047 nt
Organism: Zalophus californianus (California sea lion)
Lineage: Eukaryota; Metazoa; Chordata; Mammalia; Carnivora; Otariidae
Exons: 6
Source: RefSeq, a predicted model, not a curated record
AGGAGAGGUGCUGCCGCGGUGGCCCCGAAUACAGGGAUCCCCAGAUUGAUAAGGAAUGUUACCUCAGACUUUUAGGGAGCUGACUGAGGAGGAAGUGUGAGGACAGCUCAGGAAGACUCAGAUCAUCAAGCUGGCCCAGCAGCGAAAAUAAACUCUGUACUCGGAGACCCAGUGACAAGUAAAUUGACGAACACGAGGAAGCAAAGUAUUGGCCAGAACACUCACAACGGAGACACAGGAAGCUGUGCAAAGGGAGCCGAUUGAGCAGUGCUGUGCUGCUUUUGCAGAGGGACAGCAUCAUCGACCAUAACUCAUGGACCGCCUUCCACCAGGCCCUAGAAAUCCCAGAGCCUGAGGGGUGGCUGUUUCUAUCAGGCGUCUGCGCCGCAAGCUGACCAGUGUGGCCGCUUCCUGACCAGGCGUACUGGGAGAAGCAGCCCCAGUGGAGGGUGGGGCCUGAGAAGCCGUCACACCAGUUGCGGGUGGCUCUCCGCAACGGCGCCAGAUACAACUUAUGGGGGAGAAGAGUUGUCUUAAGUCGCCUAAACACCUGAAGAAAAUAUAUCUGAGAAUGUUGCUGAGAAUCUUGAGAUUUGAAGGAAGAAGCUCAUAGCAGUGGAUGGAGAUGGGGCACGCCCCAGAGAGUAGCUGCUCCCGAGUACUCCUUCAGGUUCCCAGAAUAUGACCAGCAGAGCAGACUUGAAGCCAGAUAACAGCCUGGAGCCAAGCCCAGCUGAGCCUAGCAGAGCCACACCCAAUUCACAGACCUGGCAAAAAUCUUGGAAGUUGGCUCCACAUGGACUAAAUGUCCUAGAAAAGCUUCUAAAAACAGGAGCAUCCUGGUUAAGAGUUUGAGCUUUGAGUCAGAUAGACAUGGAUUUUACUCCCAGAUCUGCCACUUAGCUCUGUGAUCUUAGAUGGAGCCUGAACUGUGGGAUUUUGAUUAGCAUCAAAGGGAGGUCUAGCGCAUGCAUGCCACAGAAGUUGCUCACAGCAGAAAUGAGGUACUCCCCUCUUUGCAAAGACCUUUGAAACCCCGAGACUGCA